UCAGUAACACGUAGUCAACCCUGCCCUGGAGACGCGGACAAACCCGGGAAACUGGGGCCUAUCCGCGAUAGAUGAGUUCAUCUGGAAGGAGAGCUCGUCCAAAAGGACGCACGGGUAUGCUCUGUGCGGACCGCUCCAGGAUGGGACUGCGGCCGAUCAGGCUGUUGGCGGGGUAAUGGCCCACCAAACCUGUAACCGGUACGGGCUUUGAGAGAAGGAGCCCGGAGAUGGACACUGAGACAAGGGUCCAGGCCCUACGGGGCGCAUCAGGCGCGAAACCUUAGCAAUGUGCGAAAGCACGACUGGGUCAGUCCGAGUGAUUUCUGAUAAAGGAAUCUUUUGCCCGUUGUAAACGCACGGGUGAAUAAGGGGUGGGCAAGUCCUGGUGCCA
RNAcentral lists this ribosomal RNA (391 nucleotides) under unidentified archaeon. Its description in RNAcentral is "bacterial SSU rRNA". It matches the Rfam family "Archaeal small subunit ribosomal RNA", at positions 90 to 460 of the family's 1478-position model. The record is from RNAcentral.